AUGACCAAGAGGCUUAACAAUCCAGAGUCACUGACGGGAGUUGUCUUAAUGGCGUAGGAGGGUGCAGAUUUAAUGGGAAUGAGUUCAGGAUAGAAAGGGAGGAGGGAAAAGGGGGACAACACAAACAGACAGCUUUGGGGGGAGAUUCUUCAGUAAAAGGGAACAGAACGUGAAAGAUAGCUAGGGGUGAAGGCGAGAUCAAUGCCGAGUUACUUUUUCACUCCGGAGGGUAGUAUAGGAUGUUUGUGCGCUGGUGGAAAUGGUCCAGCAGAGAGAAAACCUAGUUCUGUGGAGAGGGAGGGGAGAGAUUUCCGGAGCAAUGACUCUGAGAGCAAAGCGAUAGAAUGCAGUGCACAAGGAACGGGUUGACUUAGGAGGAGACAACUCAUCCGUCAAGACAGGAGCAGCAGCUGACGGCUGCAGAGCCGAGUAGGUUGGCGGAUGUGGGUGGGACCACGGAGGUUCUUUUCUGGUGGUUUUUAUUUUUGCAGUGGUAGAAAAAGAAUAAAAUAGGAUUUCCAGGCAGCAUAAAAGAUCACCGAUGUAAAGUGAGACUAGCCAACCAUGCUCCAUGUCUUUCUUCAACAGCCUGGAUGCAAGUUUAAACGAGAGGGGACUUAAGCAGCUGGAGUUCUGCGUGGGACCUGGCUUCUGCUACACAGACGUAUUACAGGAGAAUGGAGUCAGAAUGGCCAACAUUCAAAAGUUCACAAAUGACAAAUGCUGGAGAGGCUGUGGAGAAAAGGGAACCCUCCUGCACUGCUGGUGGGAAUUCAGUUUGGUGCAGCCACUGUGGAAAACAGUAUGGAGAUUCCUCAAAAGACUAGGAAUAGACUUACCAUAUGACCCAGGAAUCCCGCUCCUGGGCAUAUAUCCAGAAGGAACCCUACUUCAGGAUGACACCUGCACCCCAAUGUUCAUAGCAGCAUUAUUUACGAUAGCCAAGACAUGGAAACAGCCUAAAUGUCCAUCAACAGAGGACUGGAUAAAGAAGAAGUGGUAUAUUUCUACAAUGGAAUACUACUGAGCCAUAAAAACCGACAACAUAACGCCAUUUGCAGCAACAUGGAUGCUCCUGGAGAAUGUCAUUCUAAGUGAAGUAAGCCAGAAAGAAAAAGAAAAAUACCAUAUGAGAUCGCUCAUAUGUGGAAUCUAAAAAACAAACAAACAAACAAAGCAUAAAUACAAAACAGAAAUAGACUCACAGACAUAGAAUAUAAACUUGUGGUUGUCAAGGGGGUGGGGGGUGGGAAGAGAUAGACUGAGAUUUCAAAAUUGUAGAAUAGAUAAACAAGAUUAUACUGUAUAGCACAGGGAAAUAUAUACAAGAUCUUAUGGUAUACACUGGAAUUUGACACAACAUUAUAAAAUUAUUAUAAAUCAAUAAAAAAUGUUAAAAAAUAAAAAAUAAAUAAAAAUUUAAAAAAAGAUCUUAUGGUAGCUCACAGAGAAAAAAAUGUGACAAUGAAUAUAUACAUGUUCAUGUAUAACUGAAAAAUUGUGCUCUACACUGGAAUU
Camelus dromedarius (Arabian camel) is the source of this 1518-nucleotide long non-coding RNA. RefSeq lists it as uncharacterized. The record is from RefSeq and is a predicted model, not a curated record. Lineage: Eukaryota; Metazoa; Chordata; Mammalia; Artiodactyla; Camelidae. The transcript has 3 exons.